GACGGAGGAUGCAAGCGUUAUCCGGAAUGAUUGGGCGUAAAGCGUCCGCAGGUGGCAGUUCAAGUCUGCUGUCAAAGACCGGGGCUUAACUUCGGAAAGGCAGUGGAAACUGAACAGCUAGAGUAUGGUAGGGGCAGAGGGAAUUCCUGGUGUAGCGGUGAAAUGCGUAGAGAUCAGGAGGAACACCGAUGGCGAAGGCAGGUCUCUGGGCAUUAACUGACGCUGAGGAGCGAAAGCAUGGGGAGCGAACAGG
RNAcentral lists this ribosomal RNA (253 nucleotides) under uncultured bacterium. RNAcentral describes it as "partial 16S ribosomal RNA". It matches the Rfam family "Bacterial small subunit ribosomal RNA", at positions 524 to 776 of the family's 1533-position model. The record is from RNAcentral.